GAUGAAGAACGCAGCGAAAUGCGAUAAGUAAUGUGAAUUGCAGAAUUCAGUGAAUCAUCGAAUCUUUGAACGCACAUUGCGCCCGCCAGCACUCUGGCGGGCAUGCCUGUUCGAGCGUCAUUUCAACCAUCAAGCCCCCAGGGGCUUGUGCUGGGGCCCUGCGGCUGCCCGCAGGCCCUGAAAACCAGUGGCGGGCUCGCUAGUCACACCGAGCGCAGUAGCAUAUCUUCGCUCUGGGCGUGGCAGCGUGUACCGGCCGUGAAACCUCCACUAAGGUUGACCUCGGAUCAGGUAGGAAUACCCGCUGAACUUAAGCAUAUCAAUAAGCGGAGGA
RNAcentral lists this unclassified non-coding RNA (334 nucleotides) under soil metagenome. RNAcentral describes it as "partial contains 5.8S ribosomal RNA, internal transcribed spacer 2, and large subunit ribosomal RNA". The stretch from base 1 to 120 matches the Rfam family "5.8S ribosomal RNA", at positions 35 to 154 of the family's 154-position model. The record is from RNAcentral.